Molecule: ribosomal RNA, 274 nt
Filed under: uncultured bacterium
Lineage: Bacteria
Description: partial 16S ribosomal RNA
Rfam family: Bacterial small subunit ribosomal RNA
Source: RNAcentral
AUACGGAGGGUGCAAGCGUUGUUCGGAAUCACUGGGCGUAAAGGGCGCGCAGGCGGUUUGGUAAGUCAGAUGUGAAAGCCCACGGCUCAACCGUGGAAGUGCAUUUGAAACUGUCAGACUUGAGUACUAGAGGGGAAAGUGGAAUUCCCGGUGUAGAGGUGAAAUUCGUAGAUAUCGGGAGGAAUACCGGUGGCGAAUGCGACUUUCUGGCUAGAUACUGACGCUGAGGCGCGAAAGCGUGGGGAGCAAACAGGAUUAGAAACCCCGGUAGUCC